CCCAAACCUAAAAUCACCUCCAUUUCUAACCUGUUGGCUUCCUCCCCAAACUCCUCCACGCUUCAUCUCGGUCUUGAUCCGUAGCUAGUGCCCAGCGGUAUGUAUUUUCGAUUUUGCCAUUUUGGAGUUUAGUUUAUUGUAUUCUGUAACUUGGACCAUUUUAUAUAUUUUUAGAUUUUAAUACUUAAUAUGGAUUAUUGAGAUUUGAGAAUGGGUUGUGUUUGAGAAAUAGAAUACAAAUUUUAUUGAAGUUUGGAUUGUAUGGAUGAAACAGAAUAAAAAUUUUUACUCUUCUGUCCUUGUUUUGAGCCUUUCAAUUUGCAAAAUUCAAACCUCAUUAUUUAUUAUUUUUCUUUAUUUAUUUAUGUUUCGAUUUGUUGUCUGUUUGCCAUGCUGGUUGAAUUGGAAGUUAAUUUGGAUUCAUAUUUAUGGAAUUUUACUCUAAUGACAUUGCCACAUUACAAAUUUGGAUCUUCCGUUUAUUUAUUGGGUAUUUGGGUGUGAUAACAUUGAUUUUAUAAUUUACAUUUGCUAGGUACUGAAACAUUGUUUGAUGAAUUCCUGAAACUGUAUGACAUCCCAAAUCACUUGUCUAAGCAAAGUUUAUGCUCAACGUUAUUGUUACAGUUUAUUAGGUAUGAGGAAUUAGAAAGAAAAUUAAAAAAGAGAAAGAAAUUGUGUUGAAACUGAAGUAUGCAUUUUGCCUUUUUAACCUUCCUUCCUGGAGUGGAUGGGGUACUUCGAUUUAUGGGCUAUUGGCUAUAUGGAUGUGUAUUCUUUGAUGUCUGUUUUUCAGUUUCUUCUAUCCAAGGGACUUAUUUGAUCUUCUUUCUUCUUCUUGAUUUUGUCCGUUUAUUCGCAGUCAUAAUUGGUUGGAAGAGUUUCUAAGAAAAUGACAUUUGCAUUAUUAAUUCAUUUAUGCUGGAGAGAUCUCUGUCUAGUGUCUACCAACUAGAAAUAUACAUGUUAGUAAGUAAAUGUCUCCAUCUCUCUACUUAUUGCAUUGUCGGUAAAAUAUUAAAUUGAAUGUUGCCGUCUAUGUUGCCAUGACGAUCUAUUUGUUUAUGUUGCCUUGUUGGCUUAAUGAAUUUUAGCCUGUGCACCAAAAAAUUUUGGAUCAGUCCUUGGGCAGCAUCUACGUGGUGCAAUUUAUGUGUUUUUUGUGUCAAAAAUCAAUGAAAAACUGUCAAAUGUUGUAAAAGGAAAGUUUAUUAAGGUUUACAGGUGAAGGAAAAUUACACUUCUGCAGCCCAAGAAAUAAUUACUAUUAUAUCCCUGAUUUUGUCAUAUAAAUACAGGGUUUUGGUUUUUAAUAAAACAUACAUAAGUCUAUUCACUUCUCUCUGUUCU
Molecule: long non-coding RNA, 1350 nt
Filed under: Olea europaea subsp. europaea
Lineage: Eukaryota; Viridiplantae; Streptophyta; Magnoliopsida; Lamiales; Oleaceae
Source: RNAcentral